RNAcentral lists this ribosomal RNA (469 nucleotides) under uncultured bacterium. RNAcentral describes it as "partial 16S ribosomal RNA". It matches the Rfam family "Bacterial small subunit ribosomal RNA", at positions 28 to 507 of the family's 1533-position model. The record is from RNAcentral.
GACGAACGCUGGCGGUGUGCUUAACACAUGCAAGUCGAACGGUAAGGCCCUUUCGGGGGUACACGAGUGGCGAACGGGUGAGUAACACGUGAGUAACCUGCCCUCAUCUCUGGGAUAACAGUCGGAAACGGUUGCUAAUACUGGAUAUGAGCUUGCAAGGCAUCUUGUGGGUUGGAAAGAUUUUUUUUUGGUUGGGGAUGGACUCGCGGCCUAUCAGCUUGUUGGUGAGGUAGUGGCUCACCAAGGCUUCGACGGGUAGCCGGCCUGAGAGGGCGACCGGCCACAUUGGGACUGAGAUACGGCCCAAACUCCUACGGGAGGCAGCAGUGGGGAAUAUUGCACAAUGGACGGAAGUCUGAUGCAGCAACGCCGCGUGCGGGAUGACGGCCUUCGGGUUGUAAACCGCUUUCAAUUGUGACGAAGCUUUUUUGUGACGGUAGCAGUGGAAGAAGCACCGGCUAACUACGUG